RNAcentral lists this ribosomal RNA (260 nucleotides) under uncultured bacterium. RNAcentral's name for it is "partial small subunit ribosomal RNA". It matches the Rfam family "Bacterial small subunit ribosomal RNA", at positions 26 to 285 of the family's 1533-position model. The record is from RNAcentral.
AGGACGAACGCUGGCGGCGUGCUUAACACAUGCAAGUCGAGCGAGGCCCCUCCUUCGGGAGGGUGUCCUAGCGGCGAACGGGUGAGUAACACGUGGGCAACCUGCCCUCAGCUCUGGGAUAACCCCGGGAAAACCGGGGCUAAUACCGGAUACGACCUCCACGGGCAUCUGCGGAGGUGGAAAGGUUUUCCGGCUGAGGAUGGGCCCGCGGCCUAUCAGCUAGUUGGUGGGGUGAUGGCCCACCAAGGCGACGACGGGUA